Molecule: microRNA, 22 nt
Filed under: Bombyx mori (domestic silkworm)
Lineage: Eukaryota; Metazoa; Arthropoda; Insecta; Lepidoptera; Bombycidae
Description: bmo-miR-3239
Source: miRBase by way of RNAcentral
UCAGAGAAAAAGAGAUUUUUAU